AUACGGAGGGUGCGAGCGUUAAUCGGAAUUACUGGGCGUAAAGCGCGCGUAGGCGGUUUGGUCAGUCGGAUGUGAAAGCCCCAGGCUCAACCUGGGAAUGGCAUUCGAUACUGCCUGACUAGAGUAUGGUAGAGGGAAGUGGAAUUUCCGGUGUAGCGGUGAAAUGCGUAGAUAUCGGAAGGAACACCAGUGGCGAAGGCGACUUCCUGGGCCAAUACUGACGCUGAGGUGCGAAAGCGUGGGGAGCAAACAGGAUUAGAAACCCGGGUAGUCC
Molecule: ribosomal RNA, 274 nt
Filed under: uncultured bacterium
Lineage: Bacteria
Description: partial 16S ribosomal RNA
Rfam family: Bacterial small subunit ribosomal RNA
Source: RNAcentral